UUGCGCUAGGCGGGGAGCCAGCGGUGCCCUGUAACCCGAAAUCCGCUUUAUGCGGGGCCGAAGUCCUCCCUAAGGGCAUUUACUUAAUAAACGAAUAGAUUAUCUUGGAAGCCGCGUAACGAAUGCUUACGAACCUCGUCAGGUCCGGAAGGAAGCAGCGAUAAGUAUGAAUAUUCGGGUAGCGGACAAUUUCGGGAUAAGCUGUUGUUUGUUAAUAGAAGCUCGUAAGGAGGCGCGCAA
Molecule: signal recognition particle RNA, 240 nt
Filed under: Deltaproteobacteria bacterium
Lineage: Bacteria; Pseudomonadati; Myxococcota; Myxococcia
Description: signal recognition particle sRNA large type
Rfam family: Bacterial large signal recognition particle RNA
About the family: The signal recognition particle (SRP) is a universally conserved ribonucleoprotein involved in the co-translational targeting of proteins to membranes.
Source: RNAcentral